RNAcentral lists this ribosomal RNA (403 nucleotides) under bacterium. RNAcentral describes it as "partial 16S ribosomal RNA". It matches the Rfam family "Bacterial small subunit ribosomal RNA", at positions 355 to 776 of the family's 1533-position model. The record is from RNAcentral.
UGGGGAAUAUUGCACAAUGGAGGGAACUCUGAUGCAGCGACGCCGCGUGAACGAAGAAGGCUUUCGAGUCGUAAAGUUCUUUUAUAUGGGAAGAUAAUGACGGUACCAUAAGAAAAAGCCCCGGCUAACUACGUGCCAGCAGCCGCGGUAAUACGUAGGGGGCUAGCGUUGUCCGGAAUCACUGGGCGUAAAGGGUUCGCAGGCGGAAAAGCAAGUCAGGUGUAAAAGGCAGUAGCUUAACUACUGUAAGCAUUUGAAACUGCAUAUCUUGAGAAGAGUAGAGGUAAGUGGAAUUUUUAGUGUAGCGGUGAAAUGCGUAGAUAUUAAAAAGAAUACCGGUGGCGAAGGCGACUUACUGGGCUCAUUCUGACGCUGAGGAACGAAAGCGUGGGUAGCAAACAGG